RNAcentral lists this transfer RNA (67 nucleotides) under Matsucoccus matsumurae. RNAcentral describes it as "tRNA-Ile". The record is from RNAcentral. Lineage: Eukaryota; Metazoa; Arthropoda; Insecta; Hemiptera; Margarodidae.
AAUAAAAUACCUAAAAUUUCAAAGGAUUACAAUGAUAAAGUAAAUUUAUAAUAAUUUUUUUUUAUUA